This 326-nucleotide ribosomal RNA is filed under the name uncultured eukaryote. Its description in RNAcentral is "partial 18S ribosomal RNA". It matches the Rfam family "Eukaryotic small subunit ribosomal RNA", at positions 1470 to 1796 of the family's 1831-position model. The record is from RNAcentral.
CCCUUAGAUGUCCGGGGCCGCACGCGCGCUACACUGAAGGAAUCAGCGUGGCUUUCUCCCUGACCCGAAAGGGUUGGGAAACCCGUUGAAUCUCCUUCGUGAUAGGGAUUGGGGCUUGAAAUUGUUCCCCAUGAACGAGGAAUUCCCAGUAAGCGCGAGUCAUAAGCUCGCGUUGAUUACGUCCCUGCCCUUUGUACACACCGCCCGUCGCUACUACCGAUUGAGUGGUCCGGUGAAUUAUUCGGACCGGUGGACUGUGGGGUAACUCGCGGUCUGCUGGGAAGUCUUGUGAACCUUAUCACUUAGAGGAAGCAGAAGUCGUAACA